Molecule: transfer RNA, 361 nt
Filed under: uncultured Microcystis sp.
Lineage: Bacteria; Bacillati; Cyanobacteriota; Cyanophyceae; Chroococcales; Microcystaceae
Description: partial 16S-23S ribosomal RNA intergenic spacer
Rfam family: tRNA (bases 136-209)
Source: RNAcentral
AAAGGGAGACCUAAUUCAGGUAAAAGACGAAAAAAAAGUAGUCGCUACCAAGAAUCAAUCCCAAAAGGUCGGAGCGAGGCGAAAUUGGCUUUCAAACUAGGUUCUGGGUUCAAACAAGACCUGAAUCAGGAACAAGGGCUAUUAGCUCAGGUGGUUAGAGCGCACCCCUGAUAAGGGUGAGGUCCCUGGUUCGAGUCCAGGAUGGCCCACCUGCACAGGUGGCAAAAACAAGAGAAGCGAGGAAUCAGCACCUUAUCUUACUGACAUAGUAAGAGAGAAUGCUGGCUCUGAGUAAAGAGUCCAGAGGAACCUUGAAAACUGCAUAGAGCUAGGUGAAAAAGCCAAGAAAGAAGACCGCAAG